UUGCCUUUUGAGAACACGACCGGCGCACGAGUGACUCCGAGCUGCCGGGGAGGCGCUGCCCCCUCGGCCCCGCCGGCCACGAACGCGUGUGCCCUCCGGGGCGUGCCGGGCGUGGUUCGGAAACAGGGCGCGGUACGUCGCCAAGGAGCACACAUCUGCCGGGCGGACGGCGAUGCUUCGGCGUCGCGCGGUCCGUCGAGGCCGAGCUAGUACUAGUACGACGAGAGGACUCCCGGCAACGGAUAUCUCGGCUCUCGCAUCGAUGAAGAACGUAGCGAAAUGCGAUACAUGGUGUGAAUUGCAGAAUCCCGUGAACCAUCGAGUCUUUGAACGCAAGUUGCGCCCGAGGGACCCUCCCGAGGGCACGCCUGCCUCAUGGGCGUUAGAAGCCCAUCCACGCUCGGCGCGAGCGUCCCGCGCGCGCCGGUGCGGACACUGGCCCUCCGAGCCGCGAGGCACGACGGGCACAAGCGUACGGCCGUCGGCUGAGGCCGGGAGCGGCGAGUGGUGGGCUGCUGCGCACGCCGCCUCCGGACCGGAUGCCGGCAGAGGGCCCGGUCGGACCCCGAAACGAGGAGCCCGCCGUCCCGUGCGGCGGCUCCGGACCGAU
RNAcentral lists this ribosomal RNA (610 nucleotides) under Eleocharis sundaica. RNAcentral's name for it is "eukaryotic LSU rRNA". The stretch from base 228 to 382 matches the Rfam family "5.8S ribosomal RNA". The record is from RNAcentral. Lineage: Eukaryota; Viridiplantae; Streptophyta; Magnoliopsida; Poales; Cyperaceae.